AGGUACAUCGACAAUUCACCUUGAGUGUGUUAUAGUUUGACUACACCAUAACUCAAUCUCCUAGCCAUUCAGAAUCUUGAGGUGUAUGUUGGCUGUAGCAUAUUCAUUGUAGGAACCAGAUCACACCAAGAAGGGAUCUAUCAACCUCGAUAGAUAAGAGUAGUCCUAUGAUGAUUGAAAGAUCGAGUCCUUAAGCCCAUGG
This 202-nucleotide long non-coding RNA is filed under the name Elaeis guineensis (African oil palm). RNAcentral's name for it is "long non-coding RNA (EGUI_LNC042500)". The record is from RNAcentral. Lineage: Eukaryota; Viridiplantae; Streptophyta; Magnoliopsida; Arecales; Arecaceae.